GUAGGGGGCAAGCGUUAUCCGGAUUUACUGGGUGUAAAGGGAGCGUAGACGGCACUGCAAGUCCGGAGUGAAAGCCCAAGGCUUAACCAUGGGACUGCUCUGGAAACUGUGGAGCUGGAGUGCGGGAGGGGCAGGCGGAAUUCCUAGUGUAGCGGUGAAAUGCGUAGAUAUUAGGAGGAACACCGGCGGCGAAGGCGGCCUGCUGGACCGUAACUGACGUUGAGGCUCGAAAGCGUGGGGAGCAAA
RNAcentral lists this ribosomal RNA (246 nucleotides) under uncultured bacterium. RNAcentral's name for it is "partial 16S ribosomal RNA". It matches the Rfam family "Bacterial small subunit ribosomal RNA", at positions 527 to 772 of the family's 1533-position model. The record is from RNAcentral.